ACUUGAUGACCCUGGAUGCAAAGAGUUAACAGAGAUGCAUGAACAUGUAUUAGAAAAAUGAUUCACACGCAAUAGAAAAAUUAAGUAAGACCAGGAUUGGGUGGCUUUGGAGAACGUAAUUUCAACUUGAACGUGAAGAUGCUUGUAGAACAGUGUUCCUUCCUCUGAACAUGGCUACAGAAGAACAAAUCACUUAGUCUGAAGAUGAAAACAAGAAGCUGAUGGAAGACACAUUCUGAACUAGCUAACACAACACUCUGAAACUGGAGGAUAUCAACUGAUAAGAUAUGAAGUUCUCCCUUAGUUUCAAAUACACUGGGUUCAUAAAUUAUUAACAUAAACAAUGGAUGUCCCGUCAAGCUACCAUGAAGAUAGCUAGGUCUGCACAACUCCUCAAGUGUCGACCCCUCCAAGCACAUCCUCCACCUGGAACUGUGAA
Molecule: long non-coding RNA, 439 nt
Filed under: Pongo abelii (Sumatran orangutan)
Lineage: Eukaryota; Metazoa; Chordata; Mammalia; Primates; Hominidae
Description: lincRNA
Source: RNAcentral